Molecule: long non-coding RNA, 5853 nt
Filed under: Homo sapiens (human)
Lineage: Eukaryota; Metazoa; Chordata; Mammalia; Primates; Hominidae
Description: HSALNT0375234
Source: RNAcentral
GAGACUCCACCUCUAAAACAAAAACGAAAACAAACAAACAAAAAAAGUGGAUGAUGGGUGAAGACAAAUGUUUCAAGUCUAUAGAGCUACAAUCAUGACUUAUAAUCCUCGAUCCUAAAGAAUUUAAAAUCCUAUCAGUGGAGAAGACACUUUAGCUAGACCCUGAAAUGGGCCUCAGUUGCAAAGGACAGAGGCUCCAGCCAUGUGCAGGUGUGUGAUACCUGCUGCGGGUCACCUGAUAGAAAGGGACAGGCCAUCCUUAUCCCCCCGGGGCUAAGGCCUGGAGUGCAGACAGGGUGUGCAGAGCAGAACUGGCAGGGGCCGGGCAGAGGCGGCUCUGCUCAUGCUUCUCAUUUCCAGUUAUCAAUGGCAGGGUGAUGACAGGCAACUGUGCAAGGCAACAGCCACUGGCCAUCCUGGCUCCAGGCCCCUUUCCCUUGGCCCCUAACUAACACAGAAGCUGAGGCCACUGAGAGGCUGGGACUCUGAAUCCCACUGCCAUGGCCUGUCCCUUUCUAUCAGGUGACCCACGUGUGCAGGAGGCCUAAGUCCUCCACCAGCCACCAGCCACCUGCCACCUGCCCGUCCCUGUGGCCCAUGGGGUUUCCUAGGCAGGCGGGAAGGGGGCUCCCAUUCUGUGCAGCCCAGGAGGGCACGAGGGUACUGCCUGAUGCGUUCCUAGGGGUGAGCGCGUAUGGGCAGCACCGGGCUCCUCCACUGUCAGUUUUCUGUCCUUGCAGCGACACUGUGAUACAAGCCUGCCCUUCCAUCUUGGGCUCAGGAAACAACGGAGCGGCCACUUCCCUCCCCAGCGAAGAAGAGGCCCCAUGACAGCUCCACCGGGCCUCCCAUGUGGUGCUGCAGAAACUCCACAGGGAAACCUCCCCGUCUUCACAAAUGACUCCACCCACGGCCAGGGGACAAAAAUCCUUUUACUCAGGCUUCGCUUGGGUCUACCUCUGCUGUAUUUUCCACUAAGUGGAAGAGACUUCUGUUCACUUACUCUAUGAGAGAAAAGAAUGGGAGCAACAUUUCCCUCUUGCUGCCCACAUCUGCUCAUUCGAGACUGGCUGCUUUCAGCCUUCUCCAUGCACUUGUCCAUCUGACCCAUGCACACCAAAUGUGACUGGCUGCUGACUCCUGGGAGCAUUUUAAAAUUCUGAAGCAAUUGAGAUUUGCAGAAGAGUUGCAGAGAUAGUACAGAGAGUCCCUGUAUACCCUUCACCCAGACAUCAUGAUGUCAUAUUGACAUUUUAUAAAACUAUGGCACAUUUCUGUGAAAACUAAGAAAUCAACAUUGGUACAGAAAUCAACAUUAUCACAUUGAACUGCAGCCUCCGCUAGAAUCUCACCAGUUUUUCCACUAGUGCAGCUUUUCUGUCCCAGGACCCGCCCCAGGAUACCAGGCUGCACUUCAAAGGAGCCGGUUUUACAAAAAAGCAUGUUGCUUCAAAAGGCAGCUUCAUCCAAGGCAACAGAAGACAGUGAAGCAGAGUACUCAGGAGCCAGCCAGGAGCUCAGGAGACAGGGGAGGGGCUGGAACCCAGCACCGAGGACUGGAGACACCUGUGAAGUCUCCCUAGAAUUAGAUGCCGCCUUCUCCUUUCAGGGGUAACCAAAAUAAAAAUUACCGUCCUCCGGAGCCACCAAUGAAAUCAAGAGCAGUGAGUCACUUAGGCCGUCACCUGUCCUGACAGGGUCUCAUUAACUGAAGGGAGUGGGCACCAGAGGGAAACAGCAAGAGGGGACUAUCCAGGAACUCUGCCCUUUUCCUCAUCUCAACUGAGAAAUGUCACAUAUUUACUGGAUUCCAGAAGCUUCUCGACACCGUGAAGAUAAAAAGUCCCAUGUGGCAUAUUGAUUUCUAAGCGAUAUCCUGGUGCAGGCUGGAUAGAUUCUAUUCUGGAGCUUAUCUGGAAGGGCUUUCUCAUCCCCAGCAUCACAGCGGAGACCCCGGCUCACCCUCACAGGUCUUAGCACACCUGCACAGGCCAGCCCUCACUGCUGACCUCUAACUUACUCAUGGUAUGUUGAUCACCUGAGAGAUCCAUUCCACACAACAUUCUCUUCCAGGCUCCAGAGCCAAAGCACGUAAAGUGUCUUGCCCUGAAGUCAGAACCCGGUUAGCAACAGGCUGGAUUAGACUUUAUGGCCUCUCAAGACUAUUGUGUCAUUCCUGGUCCCUGAUUCACAAGCUCUAUCAGCCAAGGCUGGGGGUUGCAGACAUUGCCUCCUACCUUCAGCAGUGAUCACACAGUAGACACCAGCAGACACAAAGCAUGAGGCCAGUUUCAGAGCUUUCUCUAAAACCCUCUAAUCAAAGACAAACAUUCUUCUUCAGAUAAAAAGAAUGAGACAUUCUCAAACCACUUUCUAGAUGGUGAUCUCUUCAUUAUAUUAUCAACACAGGGUUGAAAAGUUAAAUCUCCAUGGCACUCAGUUUUUCCCUUGAGUUUCUCUAUUAUUUAAACUACACAUCCAUUUUCUUUCCCUCUCCCCAGAAACACAAUUAAACACAGUUCUUUGAUUUUUAUUAUUUUAGCAAAAUCUUUUUUCUAUUCUAGAACCUUUUCCUCUUCACCUCUCUCUCUCUGGUUGUAAACAUAGCCGCCUGGUCGUACAGAGCCUGUUUCCUCUCCUGCGCUUUUCGGUUUACCCUUCCUACCCACCUCUCCUUCUGGGAUGCUGCUGACAAAUCUCUGCUAUUAUUUAUCGUGGCCAAGUCCUACAAGCCACCCAUGGAGGAAGACUUUAACAGCCUCCAGAGAGCUGAGAUAUGCUUGUUUAUCCACGAGCAGAGGAGGAACCCCGUGCUUUUCCCUUCUUCUCAGAGGGCCAUGUUUUGAGCAAUAGCGCUUCAGCUCCAGGAAAUGCAGGAAAGAAUUGUCCUUCCCGAUCCUUACAGAAAGCUCUGGGCCUCGUGCGGCAUGAACACCUCUCCUCCCUGUACCAAAGCCUGCGGAAAGGACUUGCCACCGCAGCUGCCGGCCUGGAGGGCAGGGAAGGCGGUGGCAGCCAACAGGAAGGUCAGGCGAAUUUCCUGGGGCUGGAGCCCCGAGGACAGCCUGGAAACUAAGCGGCAGGGUGGCAGGCAGGGGCCCCGCACUGAUGCCUACGUGAACCCACGUCUAUUGUGGCCCCAGGUCCCGGCCAGAGGUCCUCAGGUGACCACCCAGCCGGCUGCAUAUUUGAUCCCUCAGGCUGCUGCCAGCCUCUGGAGAUAGGUGACAAUGCUCAGAGCGGCUACAGUGAGUGCUUUCAAGCCUCCAUGAAGGUUAGAAUAGGCAGCCGAGGGGAAGUCCCUUAAACAGGCCCAGGGGAUACCUCCUGGCACCCAGGCUGUGCCAGACCCUCCAAGGCGCUUCACAUGCACCCACACACCUCACAGCACCCCCAUCUAUGAGGUGGGUGGGAUGAGUAACACCUCCGUUUUGGGGGAGAGGAGAACUAGGACGCAGAGGCUUGGCGAAUGUCCGCCCCAGGCGGCAGCCCCUCAGCUGCCCACCAGACUGAGAACUGCACCCCGUCACCUGCCUCAAGUCUGGGAUGGGACCCCUGUGUCACACUGCCUUACACGAAGCCAUUUUGUGCAUCUUGGCACCACAUUCAAACAAGGGCACCUUUAGAAAGGGCACCUUGGACAGCAGGGAGUGUGUCCUGAGGUGCCCACACAGAUCACCUGGGUUCACACUGAGUCUAGAGCCCAGGCUGCCCCGUGGGAUUUCGGCUUCCUUUCCUCCCUUUGGGAAGGGUCUUGCUUCUCUCCUUCACUUGCUGCCCCUGAUCCUCACAGUGGGAGAAGCAGAGGAGGAAGGAGGGGGAGAGCCUCCUUCCUAGGAAUCAGUGCCCGCUCCACUGUUAGUCCACGGUCAAGACCAAGAAGAAAGCACCCACACCCCAGGAGACUCAAAGACUGAAACUCAGGAGUGCCCUCCCGGCCACCUUUCAGGCCCUGGGAAGCUCGGUGUGGAGGAAGAGGCCUGGGUUCUAAUCCGUCUCAUUCAGUUACAAAGACAGGAACCUUGGGCGAGGGCUGCAAACCCUUUGUGGCUUUUCUCACCUGUAAAAUGGGGGUAAUAAUAGUUACCUAGCUCAUCAGUGUGCUUGCUUGUGAGGAUUAGAAGCAUUAGUACAGACAAAUUGGCACACAGGAAGUGCCCAAUAAGUAAUCACCAAGGCUCUUCACUGCCCAUCCUAGCUGCUUCCGAAACAAAACAAGCCAAAGGGCUCCCAGCGGCAGCCCUUUUUCCUGAACUGACCUACGCAGGAAAGAGUCCUUGCCACAAUUAAGAAAAAUCUUUAAUCAAUACAGUUGAAAAUUGAAACAUUAUUUCACAAGGAACAGCCAUUAAAGCCAGUGGUUACCAAGAAGUGAGUAAGUAGAAGACCAGCCCCUUGUUGAACGUAACAAACUACAUGUCUCUUAACAACACAUAUUACUAGGUCCCUAGUAAAAUGAUUAAAAAUAUCUAUUUUUUUUGGUUGAGUUAGAAUCUAAAGCCCAGGAAAAUAAAGUGAAUUGGCAAGUAAUCUCAACUGCCUCUCAACCCAAUACUGUAGCUCAGUGGUUCCCAGAUUCUGGUAUCAUGUGGGGAGGCGGAGUCCCGGACUCCACCCUGGAAUGUCUGACCUGAAGGUCUGAGAUGGGGCCUGACUUCUUAACAAGCCUUUCAGGGUUUAGGUCUGGGGGUCUAGGGGGCCUGCACUUUGAGAAGCUCUGCUGGGCAAUCAAUGUUCUUGGUGCCAUCCAAAGAUCAAAGAGUCAAAGAGACUGGGGGUGAGCUUGCAGCAAUGAUGAGGUUUUGGGGAGGCAUAGAGGUGUCCUAUCUGCCUUAGGGCACUUGGCCUCUGUGAAGCCGUAAUUCUUCAGAGUACGGAAACUGGGGCUCUGGAUUUAAGAGAUUAGGGCAGAGCUAUGUUUAGUAACUAGGUUUUUUUUGUUUGUUUGUUUUGUUUUUAGACAGAGUCUUGCUCCGUCGCCCAGACUGGAGAGCAGUGGUGCUAUUUCGGCUUACUGCAACCUCGGCCUCCUGGGUUCAAGCAAUUCUUGUGCCUCAGCCUCCUGAGUAGCUGGAAUUACAGGCAAGCGCCACCAAGCCCGGCUGAUUUUUUUGUAUUUUAGUAGAGACAGGGUUUUACCGUGUUUCUCCCAGGGUGGUCUCGAACUCCUGAGCUCAGGCAAUCCACAGGCCGCGGCCUCCCAAAGUGCUAAGAUUACAGGCGUGAGCCGCCAUGCCCAGGCUAAUACCUAGAUCUUUAGACCUAGGUGCUUGGUGGUCUUUCUACCAAUUUUAGGAUGAGUUCAGAAAAGAAUACCUGGGACUCCCACCAUCCUUAGGCAUGAACAUAUGGAAAUUAUAAAAGUGGCUCUAAGGGACAAAGGGGUGCAGGUGGCAGCACAACCAAAGCACACACAGCCCGAUGUGGUAUUUUCUAGGGAUCGCCCCCUUCUUUGAGUGUGCGUGCGUGCGCGUGCAUGCAUUGCUUCUGGUUCAUAAAUCUGAGCCAAGUCUUACAUGCAGUACAGACCUGUGCAUUAGAAUUCACAGGGUCACUGGGCUAGUUCAAAUAUCUAGGUUCUGAUCUUAAGUCGGGGCUGGGACGAAGAGACAGACCUGAACUGGAAGAAAACUUUGGCCUGGAGUGCUCUGGUCAAAGUCUCCGAGUCCUCCUCUUACUUCCCAAACCGAGCUUUGAACCGGAACCAACAGCAGCGGAAAAGUAAAGUUAGCAGCUCUUCCCCAAGUGGGAGUAGCUCCUCAUCACUCACUGCCUUUAAAAUCCUGGUUUGUUUUACAUCAGGGCAGAACGAUGUAAAAACAACAGAAUUCAAAUGAAAUCAUGAACACGUUU